UGGGGAAUCUUAGACAAUGGGGGCAACCCUGAUCUAGCCAUGCCGCGUGAGUGAUGAAGGCCUUAGGGUUGUAAAGCUCUUUCAGCUGGGAAGAUAGUGACGGUACCAGCAGAAGAAGCCCCGGCUAACUCCGUGCCAGCAGCCGCGGUAAUACGGAGGGGGCUAGCGUUGUUCGGAAUUACUGGGCGUAAAGCGCACGUAGGCGGACUGGAAAGUCAGAGGUGAAAUCCCAGGGCUCAACCUUGGAACUGCCUUUGAAACUAUCAGUCUGGAGUUCGAGAGAGGUGAGUGGAAUUCCGAGUGUAGAGGUGAAAUUCGUAGAUAUUCGGAGGAACACCAGUGGCGAAGGCGGCUCACUGGCUCGAUACUGACGCUGAGGUGCGAAAGCGUGGGGAGCAAACA
RNAcentral lists this ribosomal RNA (402 nucleotides) under uncultured bacterium. RNAcentral describes it as "partial 16S ribosomal RNA". It matches the Rfam family "Bacterial small subunit ribosomal RNA", at positions 355 to 774 of the family's 1533-position model. The record is from RNAcentral.